UACAGAGGGUGCGAGCGUUAAUCGGAAUUACUGGGCGUAAAGCGUGCGUAGACGGUUAUCUAAGUCGGAUGUGAAAGCCCCGGGCUCAACCUGGGAAUUGCAUUCGAGACUGAAUAGCUAGGGUGCGGUAGAGGGAAGCGGAAUUUCCGGUGUAGCGGUGAAAUGCGUAGAUAUCGAGAGGAACACCUGCGGCGAAGGCGGGUUGCUGGGCCGACACUGACGCUGAUGCGCGAAAGCCAGGGGAGCGAACGGG
This 253-nucleotide ribosomal RNA is filed under the name uncultured bacterium. RNAcentral describes it as "partial 16S ribosomal RNA". It matches the Rfam family "Bacterial small subunit ribosomal RNA", at positions 524 to 776 of the family's 1533-position model. The record is from RNAcentral.